Molecule: ribosomal RNA, 442 nt
Filed under: uncultured bacterium
Lineage: Bacteria
Description: partial 16S ribosomal RNA
Rfam family: Bacterial small subunit ribosomal RNA
Source: RNAcentral
CCUACGGGGGGCUGCAGUGGGGAAUAUUGGGCAAUGGGCGCAAGCCUGACCCAGCAACGCCGCGUGAAGGAAGAAGGCUUUCGGGUUGUAAACUCCUUUUAAGGGGGAAGAGCAGAGGACGGUACCCCUUGAAUAAGCAACGGCUAACUACGUGCAAGCAGCCGCGGUAAAAGGUAGGGGGCAAGCGUUGUUCGGAAUUACUGGGGGUAAAGGGAGGGUAGGCGGUUUAGUAAGAUAGUGGUGAAAUCCCAGGGCUUAACUUUGGAAUUGCCAUUAUAACUAUUAGACUAGAAUUACAGAGAGGAUAGUGGAAUACCCAGUGUAGAGGUGAAAUUCGUAGAUAUUGGGUAGAACACCAGUGGCGAAGGCGACUAUCUGGCUGUACAUUGACGCUGAGGCUCGAAAGCAUGGGGAUCAAACAGGAUUAGAUACCCCAGUAGUC